AGCAUGCUAGUCGUAACAAGGGAGCAAGUACUUGUCUUUACCCUAGAGUGGCGGACUGGUGAGUAACGCGUAGGUGACCUGCCCUGAAGAUGGGGAUAGCUAGUAGAAAUAUUAGAUAAUACCGAAUGUGCUUAUACGGAUAAAGCCGUAUAAGGAAAGGAGCUACGGCUCCGCUUUAGGAUGGGCUGCGUCCCAUUAGCUUGUUGGUGAGGUAACGCCCACCAAGGCGACGAUGGGUAUCCCGCCUGAGAGGGUGACGGACACCAUUGGAUCUGAGAACGCCCCAAACUCCUACGGGAGGCAGCAGCUAAGAAUCUUCCGCAAUGGACGAAAGUCUGACGGAGCGACGCCGCGGAAUGAAGAAGGCUGAAAAGUGUAAAAUUCUUUUGCAGAUGAAGAAUAAGGAGCUGAGGGCAUGCAUCUUCGAUGACGGUAAUCAUGCGAAUAAGGGGCGGCUAAUUACGUGCCAGCAGCCGCGGUAACACGUAAGCCGCUAGCGUUGUUCGGAAUUAUUGGGCGUAAAGGGCAUGUAGGCGGUUAUGUAAGCCUGAUGUGAAAUCUACGAGCUUAACUCGUAAACUGCAUUGGGUACUGCGUAACUUGAAUCACGGAGGCGAAACCGGAAUUCCAAGUGUAGGGGUGGAAUCUGUAGAUAUUUGGAAGAACACCGGUGGCGAAGGCGGGUUUCUGGCCGAUGAUUGACGCUGAGAUGCGAAGGUGCGGGAGCAAACAGGAUUAGAUACCCUGGUAGUCCGCACAGUAAACAAUGUACACUAGGCGUUGGAGCAAGAGCUUCAGUGCCGACGCAAACGCAUUAAGUGUACCGCCUGGGAAGUAUGCCCGCAAGGGUGAAACUCAAAGGAAUUGACGGGGGCCCACACAAGCGGUGGAGCAUGUGGUUUAAUUCGAUGAUACGCGAGGAACCUUACCUGGGUUUGACAUCAAGAGUAAUGGUAUAGAGAUAUAUCAGCGAUAGCAAUACGACUCUUGACAGGUGCUGCAUGGCUGUCGUCAGCUCGUGCCGUGAGGUGAUUGGAGUUAAGUCCCGCAACGAGCCGCAUCCCCUACUGCCAGUUACUAACACGUAAAAGGUUGAGGACUCUGGCGGAACUGCCGAUGACAAAUCGGAGGAAGGUGGGGAUGACGUCAAGUCAUCAUGGCCCUUACGUCCAGGGCUACACACGUGCUACAAUGGUUGCUACAAAUCGAAGCGACGCCGCGAGGCCAAGCAAAACGCAAAAAAGCAAUCGUAGUCCGGAUUGAAGUCUGAAACUCGACUUCAUGAAGUUGGAAUCGCUAGUAAUCGCACAUCAGCACGGUGCGGUGAAUACGUUCCUGGGCCUUGUACACACCGCCCGUCACACCAUCCGAGUCGAGGGUACCCGAAGCCGCUCCCCCCAUGGUUUUUAUCAAUGGCU
RNAcentral lists this ribosomal RNA (1418 nucleotides) under Treponema pedis. Its description in RNAcentral is "bacterial SSU rRNA". It matches the Rfam family "Bacterial small subunit ribosomal RNA". Lineage: Bacteria; Pseudomonadati; Spirochaetota; Spirochaetia; Treponematales; Treponemataceae. The record is from RNAcentral.